Molecule: ribosomal RNA, 256 nt
Filed under: uncultured bacterium
Lineage: Bacteria
Description: partial 16S ribosomal RNA
Rfam family: Bacterial small subunit ribosomal RNA
Source: RNAcentral
GGACGAACGCUGGCGGCGUGCUUAACACAUGCAAGUCGAGCGGUAAGGCCCUUUCGGGGGUACACGAGCGGCGAACGGGUGAGUAACACGUGGGUGACCUGCCCUCCAGCGUCUGGGAUAAGACCUGGGAAACCGGGUCUAAUACUGGAUAUGACUCCAUGACGCAUGUUGUGGGGUGGAAAGACCUUGUGCGGCUGAGGAUGGGCCCGCGGCCUAUCAGCUUGUUGGUGGGGUGAUGGCCUACCAAGGCGACGAC